Molecule: non-coding RNA, 669 nt
Organism: Paramuricea clavata
Lineage: Eukaryota; Metazoa; Cnidaria; Anthozoa; Malacalcyonacea; Plexauridae
Source: the annotation of a GenBank genome assembly
AUGAAAUCCUGAAAACGGUAUUGCCCAGCCUGAAAUCACGUCCCACUAAAAGUUUGUUUCCUUUUUUAGCCAAAACUGUACUGUACCACUUAAGGUAAAUCAUAUUCUUAUUCUUACAGAGAUGGUGCCAAGCGUAUCGGGCGGAAGAUUUCAUUUGUGCAGUCAACACCAACAACGGUAUUGAAAGACAAAAUAGGUCGUUUAAAUACGAGUACCUGUUGGGGAAUAAAGGAUGCUCUCUAAGUGACAUGGUAAAAGUUCUUGUCAAUCAGUUUCUGCCAAAAACUUUCAGAAAGUAAGAAAUUUUCAGUACCUCACCUAUACUGUAAAAAGUAAUCAAUCUAAAGGACUUACUUAGUAAAUCACAGAUGUGAUUCCAUUGUGAGGUGUUCUUUACAUGCUGUACUGUAAACCAAGUCACGAGUUUAUUUUCUUAUCAUUGUGUGUUCACCAUCCCUAAAAUGUAUUUUAAAGAAGUGCAUACAAAUGCAGUAUAUUUAACAAAUGCUUUUGUCUGUGACCUUAGGUAUGUUGAGUUAAAUGUGAAAUGCCAUGAUGGCUACCGUGCUUACAAUGAGGAACUGCCAAGAUUUCUUUACAACAGACCAGCAAAAAGGUGCGGUGGGAAAGUGACAUAGAUCCCACAUAAAGAAGCGGUGGGAAAGUGAC